UUGAACGCUGGCGGCAGGCCUAACACAUGCAAGUCGAGCGGAUGAAGGGAGCUUGCUCCUGGAUUCAGCGGCGGACGGGUGAGUAAUGCCUAGGAAUCUGCCUGGUAGUGGGGGAUAACGUCCGGAAACGGGCGCUAAUACCGCAUACGUCCUGAGGGAGAAAGUGGGGGAUCUUCGGACCUCACGCUAUCAGAUGAGCCUAGGUCGGAUUAGCUAGUUGGUGGGGUAAAGGCCUACCAAGGCGACGAUCCGUAACUGGUCUGAGAGGAUGAUCAGUCACACUGGAACUGAGACACGGUCCAGACUCCUACGGGAGGCAGCAGUGGGGAAUAUUGGACAAAGGGCGAAAGCCUGAUCCAGCCAUGCCGCGUGUGUGAAGAAGGUCUUCGGAUUGUAAAGCACUUUAAGUUGGGAGGAAGGGCAGUAAGUUAAUACCUUGCUGUUUUGACGUUACCAACAGAAUAGGCACCGGCUAACUUCGUG
RNAcentral lists this ribosomal RNA (483 nucleotides) under uncultured bacterium. RNAcentral's name for it is "partial 16S ribosomal RNA". It matches the Rfam family "Bacterial small subunit ribosomal RNA", at positions 30 to 507 of the family's 1533-position model. The record is from RNAcentral.